GGGGAAUUUUGCGCAAUGGGGGAAACCCUGACGCAGCAACGCCGCGUGAGUGAUGAAGGCUUUCGGGUCGUAAAGCUCUGUCGAGAGGGAAGAAAUGAUAAGUGGUUAAUACCCAUUUUUCUUGACGGUACCUCUGAAGGAAGCACCGGCUAACUCCGUGCCAGCAGCCGCGGUAAUACGGAGGGUGCAAGCGUUGUUCGGAUUUAUUGGGCGUAAAGCGCGUGUAGGCGGUUUGUUAAGUCUGAUGUGAAAGCCCCGGGCUCAACCUGGGAAGUGCAUUGGAAACUGGCAGACUUGAAUACGGGAGAGGGUAGUGGAAUUCCUAGUGUAGGAGUGGAAUCCGUAGAUAUUAGGAGGAACACCGAUGGCGAAGGCAGCCCCCUGGGCCUGUACUGACGCUCAUGCACGAAAGCGUGGGGAGCAAAC
This 426-nucleotide ribosomal RNA is filed under the name uncultured bacterium. Its description in RNAcentral is "bacterial SSU rRNA". It matches the Rfam family "Bacterial small subunit ribosomal RNA", at positions 356 to 773 of the family's 1533-position model. The record is from RNAcentral.